Anas platyrhynchos (mallard) is the source of this 1681-nucleotide long non-coding RNA. RefSeq lists it as uncharacterized. The record is from RefSeq and is a predicted model, not a curated record. Lineage: Eukaryota; Metazoa; Chordata; Aves; Anseriformes; Anatidae.
AAUGGUUGACAGCUAAUUAACUAGAAAACUACUCAUCAAUUUCUGACAAUGUGGAUUGUGACAUGUUAAAGUUCUUGUUUAAAUGCGUAAAUAGAUAUAGAUGAUGGGGUCAUGAAGUUCAGAUCUAGACCUACACGUUCAGUUUGUCAGCUCAGGCAGGAGUUUGGUUUGAAGUAUGAAUGUGAAUUUUGGCACCUUCUUUUAAAUAUAGAGGAAUUUUAUGAAAUUUAGGUCAGUAGCUGAACUUUUACAGUGCUCUGUAGGUGCAUGGAUCUGUCUGACAGCUUUAUUUCCAUCUCGGAAUAAAGGCCUGAAGACUUGUCUGGCAACUCCAGUGAGAUUUUCACAUCUCCAUGCAUGAAAUCAGACAAUGAAUGGAAAGGUCAGAACAACAGAGUCUCCUGUCCAGAAUUUUGAAGAUCUUGUGAAAGCUAGGAGUUGUGUGAGCCAAGUAGUAAUGCAAUUCAGACAUCAUGGACUGAAUAUGAAGACUUCUAUGUCUAAAAGCCUGAACCCCUUGAGGAGUGGUGCUUCUCAAACCACAAAGGAAGAAUUGUUAAUAAUGGAGGUGGAUUUUUCUGAAGGGGCACAUAUCUCAGGUCUCUUGUAAGAUCAGUUGCUGUGUUGCAGCAUGAAGCUGCAACAAGAACAAGAAGCAUGGUGAAUAGACAUCGCUCAAUUUCAAUGUCCUUCAUAGAGUAAAUUAUUUCAGUCAAAUCCCCACUUGCAAAAGUCCUCCUCUUUGACUACCAUCUGACUGGAUGGAAAGGAAAACAUGGUUACUGUAGUUUGUGAUGCAUAAAUGAAGAACAUAUUUGUGUUAAAAAUUAAGGUGUUUAUACCACACUGUAACAUUACUCUAGUUUUAAAGAUUUAAUGAAAUCCAUUCUACAAGGUUUCACUGCAAUAAAAAAAAAAAAGAUGUGAGAUCUUGCACUCUGGAAGGUAUUUCCUGUGGUGGACCUUCUGCUAUGUCUUCAACUGGUUUUUAAAAUAUUUGUCAUACUGCAAGCUUUGCAGGUAUGAGGGCUUUUAUUCAUAACAGAGUAAAAUUAAGUGAUUAAAAUUCACACUUCUUAAAAAGGGGAGAAAAAAAAAACAAAACAAAACACAUGCCUAAUUAAGAAAUGAUUAAUCUGUGUGGAUUAAAGCUGAUCCCUUGGAGGUGUAAGUAGCAGACAUUUGAGUAGGAGACAGAGAAAGAAUUGAGCAGGAAAUCAAAUUGUUCAGGACAAUCUCAGAUGUGGGGAACACUGGAGAAGCUAGCAUCUAGCUGGUAGGUUGAUGGCACAAUGGAAGAAAAAUGAUUGGACUGUACAAGGUUAAGUGAAAAAACAAAACAAAACAAAAAGCAUAAAUAAAAACAUGGUUGUGCUAGACUGCUUGUGAAGUUCUUCCAGCUCAAACCUUCCCAGAUGAAAAUUCUGAACUCUGUGGCCUCAUGAUGGAAGAAAACAGCUUUGCACAAGUUUGCAUUCUCUUUGUGUGGAAAUCAUUGUUUUACCCCUAUUUUGAUGUCAAACACCAAAAUGAAGGUAAUAUCAUGCUAAGAAGAUUAUUGUUAUGGAGGAAAGAUUAGAUAAAGAAAAAAAAAAUCACAAAUGAAGAAGCUUUUAAUAUUUGAGCAGUUUCCUGCAUUCAACCAUUUUAUGAUGGAAAAAUGUGUUAGUUGAAUCUGCAU